AAAUAAGAAACAAAUCUUUGUAAUUAGUUUCGACCUAAUCUUUGACUAUUAAAGUCCUUAUUUU
Molecule: transfer RNA, 64 nt
Filed under: Clambus sp. CLA01
Lineage: Eukaryota; Metazoa; Arthropoda; Insecta; Coleoptera; Clambidae
Also listed under: 1 other name
Description: tRNA-Arg
Source: RNAcentral